RNAcentral lists this ribosomal RNA (438 nucleotides) under Escherichia coli. RNAcentral describes it as "partial 23S ribosomal RNA". It matches the Rfam family "Bacterial large subunit ribosomal RNA", at positions 2251 to 2688 of the family's 2925-position model. Lineage: Bacteria; Pseudomonadati; Pseudomonadota; Gammaproteobacteria; Enterobacterales; Enterobacteriaceae. The record is from RNAcentral.
ACAGUGUCUGGUGGGUAGUUUGACUGGGGCGGUCUCCUCCUAAAGAGUAACGGAGGAGCACGAAGGUUGGCUAAUCCUGGUCGGACAUCAGGAGGUUAGUGCAAUGGCAUAAGCCAGCUUGACUGCGAGCGUGACGGCGCGAGCAGGUGCGAAAGCAGGUCAUAGUGAUCCGGUGGUUCUGAAUGGAAGGGCCAUCGCUCAACGGAUAAAAGGUACUCCGGGGAUAACAGGCUGAUACCGCCCAAGAGUUCAUAUCGACGGCGGUGUUUGGCACCUCGAUGUCGGCUCAUCACAUCCUGGGGCUGAAGUAGGUCCCAAGGGUAUGGCUGUUCGCCAUUUAAAGUGGUACGCGAGCUGGGUUUAGAACGUCGUGAGACAGUUCGGUCCCUAUCUGCCGUGGGCGCUGGAGAACUGAGGGGGGCUGCUCCUAGUACGAGA